GGUGAGGUGGCCGAGAGGCUGAAGGCGCUCCCCUGCUAAGAGAGUAUGCGGUCAAAAGCUGCAUCCGGGGUUCGAAUCCCCGCCUCACCGCCA
This 93-nucleotide transfer RNA is filed under the name Escherichia coli. RNAcentral's name for it is "tRNA-Ser". It matches the Rfam family "tRNA". From Rfam's summary of the family: Transfer RNA (tRNA) molecules are approximately 80 nucleotides in length. RNAcentral also lists the same sequence under 2 other names. The record is from RNAcentral. Lineage: Bacteria; Pseudomonadati; Pseudomonadota; Gammaproteobacteria; Enterobacterales; Enterobacteriaceae.